ACACAAUAGGUAAGUCUGACUCAUGUUUUCUGCUCUUAAACACUAUGCUAAACUCUUGUGGAUCUUUAUGUGCGAAAUAAUAUCUUUUCAUGACACAUGAAACAAAACUACAUGGGAGAAGUACCAGAUGAUAAAGGAGAUAUUAAAAUAGAAUUGUUAUCUUGUGAGGGUAGAAGAGCCCUCAAUCCAAGAAGUCUUCUUAUGCUCCAUCCUGACACCUGCUGACUCCUCACUUCACUGCAUUAGAAGAAUAUGAAGAUGGCUAUGAAACAUGACUCGUAGGCUACCCGGAGGCCCAUCAGCUGUUGCGUCAAUAACUAACAUUUGGAGUGGUAGUGCAUUUUACUCAAAAUUUCAAGAAGACUGCUUUGAUUAUCGUUUGUUCUGUUCUCAGCAUGCUGUGGGAUUCAUCCUCUUGAAGUUAGGCCUAACCAUUUGACUUGGCAAAUAAAAUGUGGAUAAAAGUGAUGCCUUUAACAGCCAGCACACAAUUCUCCAUGUCCUUUUUCCCUGAUGCAGCAACCACUGAUAAUAAAGAGGAUGGACCCUUGUUAACUUGCAUUUUUGAGUAAGGAAAACAUGGAACAGAGCCCACGGCUGACCCAUGAUGAACAUGUAGCACAAGUGAGCAACAGAUCUUUGCUGUGAAUUCAGCUUUAUUUGCUGCUACUACUAACUAAACUUCUGAUCCAUAUAAUUACUUAACUUCUUUAUGUUAAGGCAUUUAUUAGAAUACACAGCUUUAAUGUCAAACAAACUUGGGUUCAAAUCCAGGCUCUGCCACUUUUUAGCCAGGUGACACUGGCAAGAUUCCCAGCUUCUCUGAACUUCCAUUUAGUUACCUAUGAAUUGAAGAUUAUAAUAGCUACUUCAAGUGGUGGCCAUAUGGAUUACAAUGAGAGAUCUAAAGGGCUGGUCAUAGUUCCUAGUACAUGG
This 936-nucleotide long non-coding RNA is filed under the name Callithrix jacchus (white-tufted-ear marmoset). RNAcentral describes it as "lncRNA (ENSCJAG00000075781.1)". Lineage: Eukaryota; Metazoa; Chordata; Mammalia; Primates; Cebidae. The record is from RNAcentral.